CCUACGGGUGGCAGCAGUGGGGAAUAUUGGACAAUGGGGGGAACCCUGAUCCAGCGACGCCGCGUGAAUGAAGAAGUAUUUCGGUAUGUAAAGCUCUAUCAGCGGGGAGAAAAUGACGGUACCUGAACAAAAAGCCCCGGCUAACUACGUGCCAGCAGCCGAGGUAAUACGUAGGGGGCAAGCGUUAUCCGGGUUUACUGGGUGAAAAGUGAGCGGAGACGGUGCAGCAAGUCUGAUGGGAAAGGUCGGGGCCCAACCCCGGGACUGCAUUGGAAACUGUUGACCUGGAGUACAGGAGAGGUAAGCGGAAUUCCUAGUGUAGCGGUGAAAUGCGUAGAUAUUAGGAGGAACACCAGUGGCGAAGGCGGCUUACUGGACUGUAACUGACGUGAGGCUCGAAAGCGUGGGGAGCAAACAGGAUUAGAUACCCCUGUAGUC
RNAcentral lists this ribosomal RNA (438 nucleotides) under uncultured bacterium. Its description in RNAcentral is "partial 16S ribosomal RNA". It matches the Rfam family "Bacterial small subunit ribosomal RNA", at positions 338 to 795 of the family's 1533-position model. The record is from RNAcentral.